This 231-nucleotide unclassified non-coding RNA is filed under the name plant metagenome. Its description in RNAcentral is "partial contains small subunit ribosomal RNA, internal transcribed spacer 1, and 5.8S ribosomal RNA". The record is from RNAcentral.
UUUCCGUAGGUGAACCUGCGGAAGGAUCAUUAAAAAUGAAGCCGGGAAUCCGGUCCUUCUAACCCUUGAUUAUCUUAAUUUGUUGCUUUGGUGGGCCGCGCAAGCACCGGCUUCGGCUGGAUCGUGCCCGCCAGAGGACACAACUCUGUAUCAAAUGUCGUCUGAGUACUAUAAAAUAGUCAAAACUUUCAACAACGGAUCUCUUGGUUCUGGCAUCGAUGAAGAAGCAGC